GUUGUCUCUAUGAUCUAUCCUCUCCUUCUCACGAGUCACGACCGUAUCGGCCGCCGCCGCCCUCGCUACAGCCCGCCGUCGCCUUAUCCCCACUCGCUGGUGCGGAUCCGCCGCCGUCGCGCCCCUCACUCCGCUCGCCGCUGCCUCCGUCUACGCGACGCUCCUGCCUCCCUUCACCUUCCCAACUUCCCUUCCGAGCUCCGCCAGUGUCCAAGCCCUUGCUCUUCACCUUCCCAGCCUCCCUUCCGAGCUCCGCCAGCUUGAUGGCUCAUCAGACCUAUGGACGGUGCUACGUUGAGCGAUCGACUGGCAUCCUGCUCAGCCCUGCCGUCAAGCGCAUCCUAUGGGCUCGCCAUCUGGCGCUCCCCGUCAUCAGACUCGUGAUGGGUGAUGGGGUGGAUCGUCUGACACGCCUGGCGAUCCACCGGAGAAGGAUUUGGAGAGAAGGUUGAGCGGCAUGCAGGUGUCCUCGGUUGCCAAGACUGCAGCCAUGGUUAUGGAUGGAAUUUACCUUUUCUAAUCUAUUACAUGAAUAGUCCAUGAGUCCCCUUACGUGAGGUCAAUUUUGUAGAUUGUUUCAAUAUAGCAGAAAGAGGCCAUGACGUUGAUAUGAAUUAAGUUAGUCCCAGAGUGCCAAGACUAGCGAUGGAAUUUACUUUGCAUGGCUGUCACGAGAUAAAAGGAGGCGGUGGACGGGAGAGAUUCAACCGGAGUUGCCACAUUACCGGUAGAUUGCAGGAAGCAUUACAUGUAAGAAAAAAGUUUGAUCCUUUGUCUAAUUGACUUUGCAUUAUCCAAUAUGAUUAGCUGGUGACAUGAGGGAGAGGGGGAUAGACCCCUUUGGCUACUGCACACAAUGUGCUACUCAUAUUCCACUUUUAGGCGAUAAGCAGCUUUAGAAUUCAGAUCCCUUUGAUUUACAUUUCAAAUCAUCUUGCUGCAACUUGGUAGUAAACAACCAUUUUUGGUCAUCUUAUACAGAUUUGUUUGGUUCUUCUGUUCGUAUAUGUCUUUUCAAUUUUACUAUAUGCUAACAGAAGAAAAAUGUAGAUAGUUUGAACACAUGUUUAUUCACCUAGAUGUUCUACAUGAAGAAAGAGCAGGAUAAACACCAUUUGUUGGUAGUCUUUCUAUUUGUCCUUAAUUAUUUGUAUUCUACACUAAUAUAGCAAGGUGAAGCCUAAUCUUUACUCUGGGUCACCGAUAGAAGUACUGGUGUAUACACAUCGAAGGUACACAAUGAACUUUUUGUAGUUCUUUUUCUUAUGGGAACUUUUCGUACGUCUUUGUUGUGAUAUACGCCCAUCUCGAAUUUCAUUUUAGGUCUACUUAUUUUAGCUCAGCUAGGUGUUGACAGUAAGAAACACUUGCAAAUAUAUGUCUCUUGUGUAUAUAAAUAUAUGCUCGCUCUACAAGUAUAAUGGAGACAAUGAUCACAGUAAUUUAAUCUGCUAUUUAGUGUACAAUAUUUUAUUCAUAAGAAGAGGUAGUUAUACACUGAAUUGCGGUUAUAUAUCUGAGUUAAGAAAAAAAUAUUAGUCUUCCUCUAUAGAGGUAUGUUGCCUUGCCGAGGCUGCUCUGCUUUUGCUAAUUUGCUGCUCUUUUGUGCUAUACUGCUAUUCCAUAUACAGAGAGAUCAGAGAAGAGAACAGCAACCCGUUACUACUGAUUUUUCAUGCUGCUACUCGCUUACCGUUACACAUCUACAUACAGAAGGCUGCUGCUUGCUGAUUACAAUUCAUUCAUGAUAGGUAGAUAUGUAUGCUUAUGCUUGGUACAUGUGAACAGGGGGACAAGGAAUGGAAGCUGCAGCGGUAGAUACGUGACUCCAGCCACCCAUUGACUAGCACAGUUUUGAAAUUCAUGCUGGCGGACCUUUUUUACCUAUGCGUGAUCAUUAGGUCAAGUAUGCCAAUUAUAAGGACAACAUCAAGCCAUUUGAGAGUAGGGGUCCAACUUCCCUGGAGGUGUGAUUUUUCUGUUACAGACUGAGGUGAGUUGAGUUGAUUUGUUGCUACUGCUAUUCGUGGUUAUCAGCAUGUUCCUACGCCAACCCUGGCAGGCUGCAACCUAUUUGUGGCUCGGCCAUGCCCACUCCCUGUGCUUCUUGCUCGUACCAGCAGUGAAGACUCUAUAAAUACAUGUCAUUCUAUUAUCCAAAAUCCAAUGGCAGAAGGAAGUGGUGUCAAACAACAUGUUGCUUGAUGAAGGACCAAGAUAGUUGAAGAGGAACAUGAAGCGGUAUAGAAAUUCCUAUGGAGGCCGAGCAUCUUGUCAGUCCGUUUAUAUUGACCAGAUUAGAAAAAUCACAGCGUAAAAACUUGAAUCUUUUCCACAAGCCUUUGAGCAACAUGUGCUAUCCAUGGCCUGAUGCCAUAAUAUAUAUGGUUUUGUGCUAAAACCAUUUUUAGAUGUAAAGUUCAAACAAGGUGGAAGUGGUUUUAUGAAGAAUUUUGAGGGCCGUCAAAAUUAAGUGUUAUCAAUAGUGCACCACAACAGUUGCAUUUUUAAAUACACACAAACUGUCAAACUUUUUUUUAGGAUCACAAACUGUCAAACUUAUUGUGUACCCGUUGCAACGCACGGGCCCUUUUGCUAGUAUUUAUCUUAUCAUACUAUCUCUAUCAGAUCUCACUUUCGCAAGUGGUCGUGAAGGGAUUGACAACCCCUUUAUUACGUUUGUUGCGAGUUCUUUGUUUGUUUGUGUAGGUGCGUGAGACUUUUGAGGAGCCUCCUACUGGAUUGAUACCUUGGUUGUCAAAAACUGAGGGAAAUACUUAUGCUACUAUUGUUGCAUCACUCUUUCCUCUUCAAGAAAAAUCAACGCAAGCUCAAGAUGUAGCAAAAAGGAUUUCUGGCGCCGUUGCCGGGGAGGUCUUCGUUCAAGACAUACCAAGUACACAUCGUAAACUCAUCUCUCUCGCAUUUACAUUAUUUGUCAUUUGCCUCUCGUUUUCCUCUCCUCCACUUCACCCUUGCCGUUUUAUUCACCCUCUCUUUUCCUCUCUCUUUCUCUUUCGUUAGCCUUUUUCUUCUCCCUCGCUUUUGUUUGUCGUUAUGUUUAAAAUUAGGGAGAUUAUUGUUGAUAUGGAAAAUAAUGAUAACAUGAAAAAUUCUAAGGCUCCGGCUGAAGAACCCCUAUCUUGCAUACUAAAAAGUUUCGAAUCGGUAGUGGUAACAUUAUUGAAAAAGGUGUUAUUCAAGAUUUCUUUACUUGUGCCGGUGCUUUACCUUCCAUGAGUGAUUCUAUUCUUCAUAGAACUAGUAGUCUUGUGGAUGCUAUCGCUAUGCUUGUAGUUGAACUUGAAAUACAAUUUAUGCAUAUGCAUCCUUGUAUACAAAGAAUUUUCCUAGAAUUUUCUAAUAUUGAGCAUUCUUCUGUUAAGCGCAUUGUUACUAUCUUUUUGGCUCAUGAGUUUAGAUUUAUAAUAGGAGAGGCAAAAUAAAUCUUUGCGCACUAUAGGGUGGACGUCGGUCGUCCUCCCAUAGAGGCGGUCCUCUUCGAUCAGGAGGAAAUUAGGCAUUUUCAAUCCUCGGACUAUGUUGCUUUCAAUGAAAAUUUUAGAAAAAAGAUUCCUACCAAUGUCCUAGUUGAUAGAAUUUCCGAACUUAAUAAUGAUUUUGCUCUUCGAAAUAAUGAGCUAGGAUACUCUCUUGAGUAUAUGCUCACAAGAUUUUGCCAAAAGAAUGCUUAUAGUGAUGAAUUAGUUGUUCAUUAUGAAGGG
Long non-coding RNA from Triticum aestivum (bread wheat), 3725 nucleotides. RefSeq lists it as uncharacterized. The transcript is spliced from 4 exons. The record is from RefSeq and is a predicted model, not a curated record. Lineage: Eukaryota; Viridiplantae; Streptophyta; Magnoliopsida; Poales; Poaceae.